GUCCCAGGUUGUGGCUGUAGAAAAUCAGGCUGGUUAAACCGUUUGGUUUACGACCACUACGACCCGGGUUCGAUCCCCGCAUUGGACA
Non-coding RNA from Cordylochernes scorpioides, 88 nucleotides. Lineage: Eukaryota; Metazoa; Arthropoda; Arachnida; Pseudoscorpiones; Chernetidae. The record is from the annotation of a GenBank genome assembly.